This 251-nucleotide ribosomal RNA is filed under the name uncultured bacterium. RNAcentral describes it as "partial 16S ribosomal RNA". It matches the Rfam family "Bacterial small subunit ribosomal RNA", at positions 524 to 776 of the family's 1533-position model. The record is from RNAcentral.
UACGGAGGGUGCAAGCGUUGUCCGGAUUUAUUGGGUUAAAGGGUGCGUAGGCGGCCCGGUAAGUCAGUGGUGAAAGCCUCCAGCUCAACUGGAGAACUGCCAUUGAUACUGCGGGCUUGAGUACAGACGAGGUUGGCGGAAUUGAUUGUGUAGCGGUGAAAUGCAUAGAUACAAUCAAGAACUCCGAUUGCGUAGGCAGCUAACUAGGCUGUAACUGACGCUGAGGCACGAAAGCGUGGGGAGCGAACAGG